Molecule: unclassified non-coding RNA, 343 nt
Filed under: uncultured fungus
Lineage: Eukaryota; Fungi
Description: sequence contains ITS1
Rfam family: 5.8S ribosomal RNA (bases 1-103)
Source: RNAcentral
GAAGUGCGAUAAGCAAUGCGAAUUGCAGAACCGUGAGUCAUCAGAUUUUUGAACGCAACUGGCGCUGGCUGGGCCUCCAGUCAGCAUGCUUGUUUCAGUGUCUUUUUUUUUUCUCACCCAAAUCAUAAUGCGAGAGAUACCCUUCUCUUGUUAAGCAUGAAAGCACUCUGCGCUUUGCAAGCGGCUCUUUGGCUAGUUCAAAGGUCGCAACUCAAUGUUUCCGUCACAUUGCUCACAAUGUGAACUCAUUGAGAGCAGAGGCAGUGCAGUAACUACUGCCAGUGCUUAGUCACUCAAACUUUUUUUGCAUCUGAAAUCAAGCAGGACCACCCGCUGAACUUAA